RNAcentral lists this ribosomal RNA (477 nucleotides) under Cuapetes uncinatus. RNAcentral's name for it is "partial large subunit ribosomal RNA". It matches the Rfam family "Archaeal large subunit ribosomal RNA", at positions 2020 to 2696 of the family's 2987-position model. The record is from RNAcentral. Lineage: Eukaryota; Metazoa; Arthropoda; Malacostraca; Decapoda; Palaemonidae.
UGACCGUGCGAAGGUAGCACAAUCACUUGCCUUUUAAUUGGGGGCUAGUAUGAAGGGUUGGAUGAGGGACCAAGUGUCUUUAGAUCACAACUAAAAUUUUACUUUUAAGUGAAAAGGCUUAAAUUUUGUUAAGUGAAGAUAAGACCCUAUAAAACUUAUAUAGAAGUUGGCUACGGCUUGUUUAAUAAUGUUUUAAAAUAAGGUGGUUAAUAUUAUAUUUUGUUGGGGAGACAAGAGCAGAACUCUAUCUGUUAUUUAUAAUAAGUUAAAUAUAAUUAAAACUGAGCCUUUAAUAAGGAGCAAAAGAUUAAGUUACUUUAGGGAUAACAGCGUAAUUUUCUUUGAGAGACCUAAUCGACAAGAGUAGUUGCGACCUCGAUGUUGAAUUAAAAUUUUCUAUCAAGUGCAGUAGCUUGGUUAGUAAGUCUGUUCGACUUUUAAAAUUUUACAUGAUUUGAGUUCAAACCGGUGUAAGCC